Molecule: long non-coding RNA, 241 nt
Organism: Gasterosteus aculeatus (three-spined stickleback)
Lineage: Eukaryota; Metazoa; Chordata; Actinopteri; Perciformes; Gasterosteidae
Source: Ensembl
UGUAGACAUACUUAUCUAACAUAAUUCAUUGUUGCACUGCAGUUAUUUGAAAGAUGCACAACGUAAACGUGCAGGGAACAAAGCCUAAGAAAAAAAACAGAAGAGAAGACAACCAUCAACAUGAGCUCAUCAGAGGUAGACGCAGCAGAGGCUCAUGGGUACAGAACAUUUCACAGCUUUAAACACAUCAACAAAUCCAGCCGGACCUCGUGGGGAGGGUGAGGAGAGUCUCACCGGGGGG